RNAcentral lists this ribosomal RNA (253 nucleotides) under uncultured bacterium. RNAcentral's name for it is "partial 16S ribosomal RNA". It matches the Rfam family "Bacterial small subunit ribosomal RNA", at positions 524 to 776 of the family's 1533-position model. The record is from RNAcentral.
UACGUAGGGAGCAAGCGUUGUCCGGAAUCAUUGGGCGUAAAGCGCGUGUAGGCGGCUUGGUAAGUCUGCUCUGAAAGCCCGGGGCUUAACCCCGGAAUUGCACCUCAAACUACACGGCUAGAGCAUUGGAGAGGGUAGCAGAAUUCAUGGUGUAGCAGUGAAAUGCGUAGAUAUCAUGAGGAAUACCAGAGGCGAAGGCGGCUACCUGGACAAUUCCUGACACUGAGACACGAAGGCUAGGGGAGCAAACGGG